GUGACUAAUGUUCAUUUUCCAGUUGACCAUUUUUUUAUCACGACUGAUAUUUUAUUUUGAUUCCUGUUCAAUAUUAGGGGAGCUAUGGAAAACAAGAGUUUGAAUAUCUUCAAUUCCAAAGUUGUCUUGGCAUCUCCACAAACUGCUUUCAGAUGGAGAUUAUGCUGCCAUUUUGGGAGUCAUUGGCCAUGAGCAUGUUGCCAUGUACAUAUAGGGGUGGGAGCAGCACUAAAAAAAGAGAGGGGGAGCACGGUAGCCCAUCAUCAACACAAACUCAGGAGCAAUUCAACAUCUCAAAGGACGAUUCACGUUGCCAGAGGAGACCCAACAGUUGGGAAUAUAGUUGCAGGGGCUGUUUGAAUUGUGUUCAUUUUGGUAACAAAUUGUACAGAACACUCUUUAGUUGGGAGCUAGUGAAAGUACAAUUGGAAACACUUGUGUUCAUCUUGGAAUGUCUUGA
Long non-coding RNA from Argentina anserina (silverweed cinquefoil), 460 nucleotides. RefSeq lists it as uncharacterized. The transcript is spliced from 3 exons. NCBI's taxonomy places the organism in Eukaryota, Viridiplantae, Streptophyta, Magnoliopsida, Rosales, Rosaceae. The record is from RefSeq and is a predicted model, not a curated record.